This 203-nucleotide long non-coding RNA is filed under the name Mytilus galloprovincialis (Mediterranean mussel). Lineage: Eukaryota; Metazoa; Mollusca; Bivalvia; Mytilida; Mytilidae. The record is from RNAcentral.
AGAUAAGGAAAAAAAGCUUAAUCAGCAACAUUUUAUAUUGGCAAAUUUCCAAUGAAGUUAUUUACAUAAAGUUAUUGGCAAAUAAAAAUAGAAAAUGACAUCAUAGUCAUGUCUGGCAAAUUUCCAACAUAUAUUAUCAACUACUAUUCUAUACAAAGAAAGAUAACUCCAAUUGAAAAUUAAUUGCUAUUGCACAAUAUUGU